Molecule: long non-coding RNA, 1110 nt
Organism: Drosophila biarmipes
Lineage: Eukaryota; Metazoa; Arthropoda; Insecta; Diptera; Drosophilidae
Exons: 3
Source: RefSeq, a predicted model, not a curated record
CCAGGCUGGGCUAAGAUGGAAAAAUAAAACCAGGGAAUAUAUAAAGAGGACACGCCCGCACGCCAAGCCCAAUCCGGCCGAAAGGUCUGUUUAAACGCACUUUUAAGCGCCAGUUUUAGCCGCCUCAACCCAUUUUGCCAUCCUCCUCGCCAAAAAGCCAGCUUUAAAUUAUGGCCUAGACCGCGACGGAGGCUAAGGGCCUUUGAUUCGCCGACUCGAAUCGGGUUGUUUCGUUUUGGGGCCCCGUGUUAAAAGCAAGAUAUCAACGGCCUCGAAGCCUAAGCUGAUCCACCAUAGAUACAAAGAUACAUCAUCCGCCCGGCACAAUAUAAAUCAAUCAAGAGCCUACAAGUUCAUUGACAGCUCGCACAGCUUGCCGUGCCCCAAGCCCAGCUCCGCUGUCCCGUUGGUAACAAUUUCCAGCCCCACAUGAUCCAUGAUCCUCGGCUUGGCAGGCCGACUGGCCAACCAGAAAAGAGAAAAAGCCAACAGCCAGAGACCAGGGACCAGGGACCAGCAACCGCCUGUCAAAUUGCCGGACCACAUUGUAAGUUAUGAUUAGCUCACGCGCUUAGAGAUUUAAGGCCGGAAAUGACGUGCAGGCAAGGUGGAGCCAAUAAUUCAAAUUCGAAUCUCCAAUAGUUUUUGAGUGAUUGGAAAUGUGAUUCGGGGUCUGCGCUUUCGGCUCUCUGUUUUCCAUCUGUCUCGAGGGUUAUUGCAUUCUCAUUCAUUUAUUUAUUUUUGCCAUUCGCCCGCUCUUGUGGCAAAUGCAAACACACCCGCAUAAUUUCGCCUGGCAGCAGCCCACUCGCAAUGGGAUGAUGCCGACUUGCCACGCAUAGUUUAUGCAUAAAUUAUCGACUUCAUCUAUGGAAUUGGUCUGGUUUGGAAGCGGGUUUUCGGAUCUAUUGGCAGAGGUGAAGCCAUUUGGUGUGCGCCAAGAGCAGGCUAGAUUUGGAUCAUAUGGCUACAUAAGAAAUAUAUAGUUGCCUUGACUGAAAUAUCUGAUUAAGAAAUACUAUUGUGGGCCAAAAAAUCAAAUACAUUUGUGCCAACUCUUCUCCAAUCCUCGUGCCAAGUAGUUCCUUCCCAAAAUAAAAAACAUUGACU